UACGUAGGGGGCUAGCGUUGUCCGGAAUCAUUGGGCGUAAAGCGCGUGUAGGCGGCCCGGUAAGUCCGCUGUGAAAGUCGGGGGCUCAACCCUCGGAUGCCGGUGGAUACUGUCGGGCUUGAGUACGGAAGAGGCGAGUGGAAUUCCUGGUGUAGCGGUGAAAUGCGCAGAUAUCAGGAGGAACACCAAUUGCGAAGGCAGCACUCUGGGACGUGACUGACGCUGAGACGCGAAAGCGUGGGGAGCAAACAGG
RNAcentral lists this ribosomal RNA (253 nucleotides) under uncultured bacterium. RNAcentral describes it as "partial 16S ribosomal RNA". It matches the Rfam family "Bacterial small subunit ribosomal RNA", at positions 524 to 776 of the family's 1533-position model. The record is from RNAcentral.